RNAcentral lists this transfer RNA (73 nucleotides) under Aeriscardovia sp. Its description in RNAcentral is "tRNA-Trp". It matches the Rfam family "tRNA". Rfam says of the family: Transfer RNA (tRNA) molecules are approximately 80 nucleotides in length. Their secondary structure includes four short double-helical elements and three loops (D, anti-codon, and T loops). Further hydrogen bonds mediate the characteristic L-shaped molecular structure. tRNAs have two regions of fundamental functional importance: the anti-codon, which is responsible for specific mRNA codon recognition, and the 3' end, to which the tRNAs corresponding amino acid is attached (by aminoacyl-tRNA synthetases). tRNAs cope with the degeneracy of the genetic code in two manners: having more than one tRNA (with a specific anti-codon) for a particular amino acid; and 'wobble' base-pairing, i.e. permitting non-standard base-pairing at the 3rd anti-codon position. The record is from RNAcentral. Lineage: Bacteria; Bacillati; Actinomycetota; Actinomycetes; Bifidobacteriales; Bifidobacteriaceae.
AGGGAAGUGGCACAACUGGUAGCGCAACGGUCUCCAAAACCGUAGGUUGUGGGUUCGAGUCCCGCCUUCCCUA